GGGUACUGUGUUUCUAUUUUCAUUGGAAAGAAGAUAGAAAAGAUUGAAAAAGAGAACAACUUUUAAAAAAACUAAACUUGUUCUUUUUUGUUUGUUUUAGUUUAGUUUUGUUUUUGAGAUGGUCUUGUUCUGUUACCCAGGCUGGAGUGCAGUGGUGUGAUCAUGGCUCACUACAACCUCAACCUCUGGGGCUCAAGCAGUCUUCCAGCCUCAGACUCCUGAGUAGGGGACCACAGGCACUUGCCACCAUGCCCAGGGAGUCACCUAAGUGGCAAGUGCAGAAAGGAAGAAGUCCUGGAAGAAGGAAGUGGAGUGGACACUUGCUGAAAGAAAUCUUAACUCUAGUAUCUUCCCAGUGCAGUUCCUAUUUUGGGUUUCAACUCCCCCAGAGGAGUCCUUUUAGUGCAGCUCCUGACUGCCCGAUUCCACCGGACUUCUCUCAGUAGACAGACUGAAGGGCAGAUCAAAGGCUAGAGCCUGCGCUCUGCCACGCCCUUGCUUCUGCCCAGAAGGGAGCCUUCUUCUCAUCACCUCUUGAAGAGCCACCUUUGCUCCCAGGAGAGCACACUUAGCUCGUUUGCUGCCAGGCCCUCCACACACUCUGCACUCUUUAGAGCCACCUGCCAGUUCUCUCCCUUCUGAGACCCUAGUAUUUUGUGGUUAGCGCUACGAAACUGUGUCCCUAAGGCUCCUUGCCAGUCGCCACUGAAGACUUCUCAGCCUAAAGAGCCCUUGGCCAAAGUCCCCACCCACCGCCCCUGCCGCGCGCCAUUGAGCCCCCGCGCCGCAGACCUUGAGGUCCUGCUCCAGGCUGCGCAACAGCUCCCCGUCGAUUUCCCCGGUCUGGGCGUAGCGGAGCCUUUUGCGCUCGGCUUUGCGGAGGCGGUACUGCAGGAUCCGGCAGUUUUUGUUGGCUCUCUCCAACUCGUGGCGCAUUUCCUGCAGUUGACAGGCAUCCUCCUCGAAGAAAGUGUCCCUCAUCUCGUCCAUCUCGGUUCUCAGCUCAUCGAUCUCGUUCUGAGGCGGUGACAGGCCGCGUGUCAAAAUCAAACUCGCUUCCAGCCCUUCCGACACACACCGUACACACCCCAUUCCAAUUCCAAAUUCUCAGCUUUAAUUGCCCUCUCUCUCCACGAGACAGGAGUGACAAGGAGCUGAGUACAGAAGAGGAAACUGGGGGAAAAAGGCCCACUUUAGGCCCUCUCUCGUUCUCUUACUCUACCUCUCUCCAGGAAGAAGUGUGACAAACCAUUAUAAUUAGAGAAACGGAGGCCCAGAUUUGAAUUUAAAUGAAAACCUCGCGUUACUGAGAGCAGAUUCAAAUUCCGGCAAGGCCUAGGAAACCCCCUCCCUCCUUUCUUGUUCUCCUCCCUCUUCAAGGCUCCCUAACAG
Molecule: long non-coding RNA, 1392 nt
Filed under: Homo sapiens (human)
Lineage: Eukaryota; Metazoa; Chordata; Mammalia; Primates; Hominidae
Description: HSALNT0113002
Source: RNAcentral